GUACAAAUUACACAUAUAUUAAGCAUGAUUACCUCUAUUUAUCUUUUGCAUCAAUUCAAAUUACACAUAUAUUAAGCCAAUACAACAGGAAAAUGCUAAACUCAUUAUUUGAUAGCCAUAAGCUUCUUUUAUAGCAAUCUAUUUUUGAAUGACUUUAAACCCUAUACCACAAAAGAAAUGAACAAAACAUGUAGACUUCCAUCCAUUGAGAAACAGGAUUUGGCAUUCUGCUUGAUAUGACCAUGCAACAAACCUCUCUAUUCUUCAAACAAGUAUAAUCAGUGAAGAUCCAAAUUUCUUCUUGUUAUAACAUCUAUAAGUUUAAACUAGUAGGUGGAAAAGCUACUACAUAAGUUAAUGCUUGGCCAAUACAGGAUCAGUUAGAUCUAGCUUUCGACUCAAUCACAUGCAGAUCUAAAGGAAACAUACCAGACAACAACAACAAAUGGGCAUAGCAUAUUACCAACAACAGUAACAAAGUUAAAAAGAAAACGGUAACCCCCAAAACCAUGUUGAAAUGUGCAGCUCAUUUUUUUUGAAAUUAAUUCUUAUUUAUUAGUUAUUGUUUCUAACUUUUCUUCAUGGUUAUAAUCCUAUGCAAGGGUUGAGGAAAAUGUGACAUGGUAAAUCUAAAAACAACCAUAAAUAACAGCCAGAAAACACAAUAUUAACGUAUGGCAGCUUCAAGGCACUUGAUCUCAGUAUGUUGUGAGUGACAAGCACCGUCAAAGACUCUAAGUAACUUGGCAAUAUCUCUAUUUCACACCCUCUUAUUGUUAUGGAAGUUGCACUAGGAACCAAGGACUUCUACAAAUUUUGAAAAAAGCUGAAAAAAUAAAAUUUGAGAGGUCAUAUUUAUUGAUAAUGAUAUCCUUGGCAUACUUAAGAAAUUAACAAAUAGAAAAUAUAUACAUAUUAUCAUAUUUGCACUUUUGCCUAUGUGAGUGCUCAGCAAUUGACCAAACUAGAGGUAGCCAUAGGGGAACUGACAUGCAUCAUGUAAUCACACUAAUUUUUGAAUUUAUCAAAUUAAAUCAAGAAGAAAAAAGAAUUGUGUACUUCAUAAAGAGCUGAGGCUUGCUUUGAAGGAAAUAACCUCAUUUUACCAGAAAACAUUUACUAUUUUGCAUGUUGUGGAUUCUUUAAUCCUAAUUUUAUUAUUUCGUUUUGUAGAAAAGAUUAUCAGUUGUUAGUUUAGAAAUCAACAGCCCCAACUCAUCAAAACAAAUUAUAACUAAUAAUGAAAGAGAAUAAAAAUGAAAAAGUGUAAUGCUGAUCCUAGUCCUCAUCAACAAAAGGUAGGCCACUGCCGAAGAUACUUGAAAUCUCCUAGUACUUUACCAAAAAUCUAUAAUAAAAGAAAAACGAAAUUCAAAAGUUGGCAUCAUUUUGUCACAAUCCACUAAAGCAGAAAAGGGCUCUUAACAAACAUUUAAAGCUUAGCAUGCG
This 1449-nucleotide unclassified non-coding RNA is filed under the name Hevea brasiliensis (rubber tree). Lineage: Eukaryota; Viridiplantae; Streptophyta; Magnoliopsida; Malpighiales; Euphorbiaceae. The record is from RNAcentral.